GACGAACGCUGGCGGCGUGCUUAACACGUGCAAGUCGAACGGAAAGGCCCUGCUUUUGUGGGGUGCUCGAGUGGCGAACGGGUGAGUAACACGUGAGUAACCUGCCCUUGACUUUGGGAUAACUUCAGGAAACUGGGGCUAAUACCGGAUAGGAGCUCCUGCUGCAUGGUGGGGGUUGGAAAGUUUCGGCGGUUGGGGAUGGACUCGCGGCUUAUCAGCUUGUUGGUGGGGUAGUGGCUUACCAAGGCUUUGACGGGUAGCCGGCCUGAGAGGGUGACCGGCCACAUUGGGACUGAGAUACGGCCCAGACUCCUACGGGAGGCAGCAGUGGGGAAUAUGGCACAAUGGGCGGAAGCCUGAUGCAGCAACGCCGCGUGCGGGAUGACGGCCUUCGGGUUGUAAACCGCUUUCGCCUGUGACGAAGCGUGAGUGACGGUAAUGGGUAAGAAGCACCGGCUAACUACGUG
RNAcentral lists this ribosomal RNA (467 nucleotides) under uncultured bacterium. RNAcentral's name for it is "partial 16S ribosomal RNA". It matches the Rfam family "Bacterial small subunit ribosomal RNA", at positions 28 to 507 of the family's 1533-position model. The record is from RNAcentral.